This 512-nucleotide ribosomal RNA is filed under the name uncultured bacterium. RNAcentral's name for it is "bacterial SSU rRNA". It matches the Rfam family "Bacterial small subunit ribosomal RNA", at positions 29 to 517 of the family's 1533-position model. The record is from RNAcentral.
AGCGAACGUUAGCGGCGGGCCUAACACAUGCAAGUCGAACGCGAAAGGUCUUCGGACUGAGUAGAGUGGCGCACGGGUGAGUAACACGUAGGUAAUCUACCCUUUGGCGGGGGAUAACGUUCCGAAAGGAGCGCUAAUACCGCAUAAGACCACGGAGUCUCCGGACGCUGUGGGAAAAGGUGGCCUCUUCUUGAAAGCUACCACCGAAGGAUGAGCCUGCGUCCCAUCAGCUAGUUGGUAAGGUAAUGGCUUACCAAGGCGAAGACGGGUAGCUGGUUUGAGAGAAUGAUCAGCCACACUGGCACUGGAACACGGGCCAGACUCCUACGGGAGGCAGCAGUGAGGAAUAUUGGGCAAUGGGCGAAAGCCUGACCCAGCCACGCCGCGUGAGUGAUGAAGGUCCUCGGGUCGUAAAGCUCUGUGGAGAGGGACGAAAACCCUAGGUUUCAAAUAGGCUCCAGGCUUGACGGUACCUCUUUAGCAAGCACCGGCUAACUCUGUGCCAGCAGCCG